Molecule: ribosomal RNA, 253 nt
Filed under: uncultured bacterium
Lineage: Bacteria
Description: partial 16S ribosomal RNA
Rfam family: Bacterial small subunit ribosomal RNA
Source: RNAcentral
UACAGAGGUGGCAAGCGUUGUUCGGAAUUACUGGGCGUAAAGGGCGCGUAGGCGGCCUUCUAAGUCAGACGUGAAAUCCCCCGGCUUAACCUGGGAACUGCAUCUGAUACUGGGAGGCUUGAGUAUGGGAGAGGGAUGUAGAAUUCCAGGUGUAGCGGUGAAAUGCGUAGAUAUCUGGAGGAAUACCGGUGGCGAAGGCGGCAUCCUGGACCAUAACUGACGCUGAGGCGCGAAAGCUAGGGGAGCAAACGGG